CCUAGGGGAGGCUGCAGUGGGGAAUAUUGGACAAUGGGCGAAAGCCUGAUCCAGCCAUGCCGCGUGUGUGAAGAAGGCCUUCGGGUUGUAAAGCACUUUCAGUGGGGAAGAAAGCCUUGGGGCUAAUACCCUCGAGGAAGGACAUCACCCACAGAAGAAGCACCGGCUAACUCCGUGCCAGCAGCCGCGGUAAUACGGAGGGUGCGAGCGUUAAUCGGAAUUACUGGGCGUAAAGCGCGCGUAGGCGGUCUGAUAAGCCGGUUGUGAAAGCCCCGGGCUCAACCUGGGAACGGCAUCCGGAACUGUCAGGCUAGAGUGCAGGAGAGGAAGGUAGAAUUCCCGGUGUAGCGGUGAAAUGCGUAGAGAUCGGGAGGAAUACCAGUGGCGAAGGCGGCCUUCUGGACUGACACUGACGCUGAGGUGCGAAAGCGUGGGUAGCAAACAGGAUUAGAUACCCCUGUAGUC
RNAcentral lists this ribosomal RNA (465 nucleotides) under Vreelandella stevensii. Its description in RNAcentral is "partial 16S ribosomal RNA". It matches the Rfam family "Bacterial small subunit ribosomal RNA", at positions 338 to 795 of the family's 1533-position model. Lineage: Bacteria; Pseudomonadati; Pseudomonadota; Gammaproteobacteria; Oceanospirillales; Halomonadaceae. The record is from RNAcentral.